UCCAGGAAACACUCAACAAAGCAAAGCUGUGGCUGAGGGACCUGGAGAAAGAAUUCCUUCCUAAUGAAAUCGUCAUUGCUUUGGUGGGCAACAAGAUGGACCUUGCUGCUGAGCGAGAAGUUGCCACCCAGGAGGGGGAAGAGUUUGCAAGAACAAAAGGCCUCCUGUUCACGGAGACAUCUGCAAAAUCCAGCCACCAAGUAAAUGAUAUCUUUAUGGCCAUAGCCCAAGAGCUCCUGCAGCGGGAACAAGAGAAGGCAUCCACCCCAUCCCUGCACAGGAGGUCAACAGUUGACCUGGGGGAGAGUGGGGCAAGGAUGGGGUGCUGCCAGCUCUGAGGAGAGGCAGCUCUGCACCUCAGCAGUGGCUGGAUGAGGUCUCCAAGAGGAGCAAUGACAGAGCAGGGGGGAUGCAGAAGCGCAGAGGCAGCUCAACCUAACCACACUCCCCCUCGGAGCAAGGUCAGAGCCCAUCCUGGGGGCACAGGGCCUCUUCAACCCUCCAGCACUGGCUUCAUCCAAGAGGUAAAGCACGGGGGUUUCUUCUACCAACUUUCCACUUCCAGAGAGGAGCUUGACCCCCCCAGCACCACUGCCACUGGCCCUGACUGGUGACAUCCCCUUGCCCCAGCUGCAUGUCACCUCCUCCAUCUCUCUUCCCACUUGAAAAGGGAGAAGUUAACUUUCCUGAGAGAAGCAGGUGCAUCCCAGUGGCUUUACACCCAGGCUGCAAAUAAAGAG
Molecule: long non-coding RNA, 740 nt
Filed under: Buteo japonicus
Lineage: Eukaryota; Metazoa; Chordata; Aves; Accipitriformes; Accipitridae
Description: lncRNA (ENSBJAG00000010872.1)
Source: RNAcentral